This 512-nucleotide ribosomal RNA is filed under the name uncultured bacterium. RNAcentral's name for it is "bacterial SSU rRNA". It matches the Rfam family "Bacterial small subunit ribosomal RNA", at positions 8 to 526 of the family's 1533-position model. The record is from RNAcentral.
AGAGUUUGAUCAUGGCUCAGGAUUAACGCUGGCGGCGUGCAUGAAGCAUGCAAGUCGAGCGCGGUGUGAUGCGGGGUAACCCAAUUCACAUCUAGCGGCGAACGGGUGAGUAACACGUGAGCAACCUACCUUUGAGUUGGGGAUAGCCCUGGGAAACCAGGAUUAAUACCCGAUGUGGUCACAACAGGACAUCCUGAUGUGAGUAAAGGCGCAAGCCGCUCAAUGACGGGCUCGCGGCCUAUUAGCUUGUUGGUGGGGUAAUGGCCUACCAAGGCGAUGAUGGGUAGCUGGUCUGAGAGGACGAUCAGCCACACUGGGACUGAGACACGGCCCAGACUCCUACGGGAGGCAGCAGUUAGGAAUUUUCCGCAAUGGGCGAAAGCCUGACGGAGCAACGCCGCGUGAGCGAUGAAGACCUUCGGGUUGUAAAGCUCUGUCGGAGGGGAAGAACACAAUGACGGUACCCUCCAAGAAAGCCCCGGCUAACUACGUGCCAGCAGCCGCGGUAAUAC